This 992-nucleotide long non-coding RNA is filed under the name Homo sapiens (human). RNAcentral's name for it is "HSALNT0402255". Lineage: Eukaryota; Metazoa; Chordata; Mammalia; Primates; Hominidae. The record is from RNAcentral.
GGACACCAAAAUUGUCUGAAACAUUAUUUUUACCAUCAAGCUGAAUGAAAAGUGGGUUUAUAUUGAACUCAUGGACAUAGUUUAGAAGGCUUCCUUGUCCUAGAAAUGUCAAUCAUUUGGAGAAGUGAGUUUCACACCGUGAUGAACUAAGUAUCUCGGCGUAAAAACCCCAGCAACUUGCCCUCACGUCUCCACAGCAGGAAGUGGCUUUUGAGUCAGGAUCAGGGAUCACUGCAGUGGCUGAGAGCUGUCCCUGAAAGAACUGAUUUCCACACGUUCAGAAACUGAUGCCAAGAAGAGGUUCACACUAUACCCACGAUUUGGAACGUCAGCUGGGAGCUUCCCACACCAGCAUCUCAUUUCAUUUUCAAGAGUGUCAUUGAGUUCCCGCGUGCCCACCACAGCACCGAUUCCUCUAGCCCUUUCCAGACAAGCUCUUCAGCACUCUUCAGUGUCUUCCCACCAUCAACAGUGCUGUUGGGAGCUCCCCUAGUGGACUGUUGCCCAUAUAAAGCCCUUCAAGGCGCUGUUAUAUCAAAGGAUUUGUGUGGACAAGCUUCAGGGAUGCAUCUGGGACAAGGCUUUUGCUGGACCUCUCGGUCCUGGGGCCUAGAGUCAGUCACGACAAAGAAGAAAGCCUGCAACAAUUGGGAAAGUCUUUGCAGGGGAGUAAGAAGGGACAGUGCUAGCCUUCCCACUGCAUUGCAAGCUCUCCUCUACAUGGGACCAGAUCAGGGCCAGGCUGUCUUCAUUGUGACGGGUGGAUUUCAGAAUUUGUAGAAUUGUGGACCUGGGAAUCUCAGGAGAGAAGCAGGUGCCAAAGGCAUUUCUAUCAUUGCAAAGCUGAUCACGUCUAUAAUUUUCCACAGCAUCUCUCUAUGAGAUCAGGUACAAGGAGAUUUCACAGUCUGGGAGGAACCUGCCGGAAAUGCAGCCCCGUGGCUUCCUGUUCUCUUCAUGGGAAGGCAUUGUCAUCAUAGCUUCCAUUUUUG